This 305-nucleotide ribosomal RNA is filed under the name uncultured bacterium. Its description in RNAcentral is "bacterial SSU rRNA". It matches the Rfam family "Bacterial small subunit ribosomal RNA", at positions 336 to 638 of the family's 1533-position model. The record is from RNAcentral.
UUCCUACGGGGCGCAGCAGUGAGGAAUAUUGGUCAAUGGCCGGAAGGCUGAACCAGCCAAGUCGCGUGAGGGAAUAAGGCCCUAUGGGUCGUAAACCUCUUUUGUCAGGGAGCAAAGGCGUCCACGAGUGGACGAAAGGAGAGUACCUGAAGAAGAAGCAUCGGCUAACUCCGUGCCAGCAGCCGCGGUAAUACGGAGGAUGCGAGCGUUAUCCGGAUUUAUUGGGUUUAAAGGGUGCGCAGGCGGUCUGUUAAGUCAGCGGUCAAAGCCCGGGGCUCAACCCCGGCCCGCCGUUGAAACUGGCA